ACUUAUGACCUUCACCAAUAAUCUUUAAUUCAUGUGACCUUUAAUUUGCACCUAAGGUCAAAGGUCACUGAGUGCAAAAAAAAUUUACGCUGCAAUUUCAAGCUUACAUAUUAAGAAAACGAUAAGAGUUUGCUGCAUACAUACUGUGUAUAAAAUGUUCCUCUCGACGAGCUCUACAUUUUAUACAUUACGCUCAAAACUGUCCGACCGUCUGUUCACAAGUUACGACGAGAUAAUUCUUAAAAGUAUAGUAUUGUGUGUAUAUCUUUUUAAAGGUAACAGAUAUCAACCUACUAUAAAUUGCAAAAAUGAUCAGUAUUUUAAAACCUUCAAUUUGAGGUCAAUGUCAGGUCAUGAUGAAAUUUUACCUUGACCUUCAAAGUGUAAUAUGACCUUGAUCUUGUGAUAUUUGAAAGGUCAAGUGGUCCUGAGUUGAAUGGUGGUAAUCCCAUGUCUCUACGACUUCCGGUUCUCAAGUUUGCUAUUGCAUCAUAUAUUUGAUGAUUCAUUAUGACCUUGAUGAACUUCGGAAUUGUCCCAAAUUUUUUUCUGUAAUGUUGUCCUUUUACUGUAGAUCAUUUUACUUUUAACAUAGUUGAGAUAACUGUUGUCGUUUUAGAGAUAAUGCACUUUGAAAUUUUGCGAGCGGCGGCAUGUAUUUCUGAAUCAACAACAGGUAACCACCUGAUAUUUUCACAAAUUGAAGAGUUUAACAUGGUUAUAUGUUUGACAAAAUACCAAAAACAUUCAAUGAAAAAAAAACCCAAAAAAUCAAUUUGAAGUUUUCAUGUUUUGCAUUUACUUUGUAAGUUUCAUAAGUUCUAUUUAUAUAAUUGAUAUUGCAUCAUUUUUGGCACUUUGCCAAAUGGGGUCAUUUGAUAUAUCAAAUUGAAGGUCUUAACGAGCUCUACUCAAAAAUGAAAAUGUUAAACCCCUUUUUCAUCCCAGGGGGAAGGGUGGGGUCAUUUAGUGCAAAAAAUUCAAACUUCUCAGAUGGUUAGGUUGUCGCAUAUCAAAUGAAAGUCCAUAAAGCGUACAUUUCAAAUAUCAAAUUGACGUCCCCAAAAAAUGGGUUGGGUGGGGUCAUUGAGUGCAAAAAAUAAAAUUUUCUUUUAAGGCAAGUUUGUUGUAUUUCAAAUGAAAUGUCGUAACAUGUACAUUUCAAAUAUCAGAUUCCUGUCCUCAAAAAAUGAGUUGGAUGGGGUUAUUUAGUGCAAAAAUCAAACUUUCUAGAACAUGGCGUUGUCGCAUAUCAAAUGAAAGAUCAUAAAGUCUAAAUUACAUAUAUCAUACUUCCGAUCUCGAAAAUUAAGGCGGAUGGGGUCAUUAAGUGUAAAAAGCGAAAAGUUUCAGAAGGAAUGCUUGUCGUAUAUCAAAUGAAAGGUCGUACAAAGUACAUUACGAAAACAUCACUUUAACAGGAAAGACCUUUCAAUUGUUUUACAAACAAUUGAGAUACUAGUUUUUAAGGUCUUUCCACUCCGUUAGGAAAGACCUUAUUGUUUUUCUAAUGUUUUUUUUUUUUUCUUUUUUUAAGGUCUUUCCACUCCAUUAGGAAAGACCUUAUUGUUUUUCUAAUGUUUUUUUUUUUUCUUUUUUUUUUUUUUUUUUCUUUUUCUUUUUUUUUUUUUUUUUUUUUUCUUUUUUUUCUUCCAACAUUUUUUUGGGAAUGCCCUCCCACCGUUUCUGUUGAAGUUAUCAAGACCAAAUAUGGACGAUCGAUAGACCUCAUCUUGAAGUAUUACCACAUGACCCUGUUAAGGAUUUCAUCAUCCCCUGUAGAAGUUAUCUCCCUUUUAUUGGAUUUUUUCGACAUAGUUCCCCCUCGUUGUUUUUAAAGAUAUCAUGACCUUAUUUGGACAAUAGGUAGAUCUCAUCAUGAUGUACUACCAUAUGAGGCUGCAUAGGAUUUCAUCAUCCCCUAUGCGAGUUAUAUCCCCUUGAAACAAUUUCUUUCUUUUGCAUUUUUCUCAAAAAGUAUUAGGGAUAGAAUCGAUUUGAAAACAGCAACAUGUACAAGAACAAAUGGCAAUGUUAAUGAACAUAUAAAAUAAUUUUGUUAUUGACCCUUAUAAGGAGUUAUUUCUCUUGAAAAAAUAUACACAAUUUUUGAAAAAUUGUAUUUCGAGAACCGGAAGUAGUAGAGACUUGAGACCUACACCAAUAAUCUUAAGUUUAUGUGACCUUCAAUUUGCACCCAAGGUCAAAGGUCACCGAGUGCAAAAAAAAAUUACGCUGCAAUUUUAAGCUUGCAUAUUAAGAAAACGAUAAGAGUUUGCUGCAUACAUACUGUGUAUAAAAUGUUCCUCUCGACGAGCUGUACAUUUUAUACAUUAAGCUCAAAAAUGUCCGACCUUCUGUUCAAAAGUUACACUAACAUAAUUCUUAAAACUAUAGUAACAUAUGUAUAUCUUUUUAAAGGUAACAGAUAUCAACCUUCUAUAAACUGGAAAGAUGAUCAGUAAUUCAAGACCUUCAAUUUGAGGUCAAUGUCAGGUCAUGAUGAAAUUUUACCUUGACCUUCAAAGUGUACUAUGACCGUGACCUCGUGACAUUUGAAAGGUCAAGUAGUCCUGAGUUGAAUGGUGGUAGUCUUAUGUCUCUACGACUUCCGGUUCUCAAGUUUGGUAUUGCAUCAUAUAUUUGAUGAUUCCUUGUGACCUUGAUGAACUUUCGAAUUGUCCAAAUUUUUUCUGCAAUGUUGCCCUUUAACUGCAGAUCAUUUAUCAUUUAACAAAUUUGAGAUAUCUGUUGUCGUUUAAGAGAUAAUGCAGUUUAAAAUUUUGCGAGCGGAGGCAUGUACUUCUGAAUCAACAACAGUUUACCACCUGAAAUUUUCAGAAAUAAAAGAAUUCAACAUUGUUAUAAUUUUGACAAAAUACUAAAAACAUUCAAUGAAAAAAAAACAACCAAAAAA
Mytilus californianus (California mussel) is the source of this 2917-nucleotide long non-coding RNA. RefSeq lists it as uncharacterized. The transcript is spliced from 3 exons. NCBI's taxonomy places the organism in Eukaryota, Metazoa, Mollusca, Bivalvia, Mytilida, Mytilidae. The record is from RefSeq and is a predicted model, not a curated record.